GGUAAUGCCGGAUGCUCCGAUUCCUCGCAUGGGGUGUCGGGAAAGAUUUCAUCGGUAUGGGAUGGGGUCGCGUCCUAUCAGGUAGUCGGCGGGGUAACGGCCCACCGAGCCUACGACGGGUAGCCGGCCUGAGAGGGCGACCGGCCACAUUGGGACUGAGAUACGGCCCAGACUCCUACGGGAGGCAGCAGUGGGGAAUAUUGCACAAUGGGCGCAAGCCUGAUGCAGCGACGCCGCGUGCGGGAUGACGGCCUUCGGGUUGUAAACCGCUUUUGAUCGGGAGCAAGCCUUCGGGUGAGUGUACCUUUCGAAUAAGCACCGGCUAACUACGUGCCAGCAGCCGCGGUAAUACGUAGGGUGCAAGCGUUAUCCGGAAUUAUUGGGCGUAAAGGGCUCGUAGGCGGUUCGUCGCGUCCGGUGUGAAAGUCCAUCGCUUAACGGUGGAUCUGCGCCGGGUACGGGCGGGCUGGAGUGCGGUAGGGGAGACUGGAAUUCCCGGUGUAACGGUGGAAUGU
RNAcentral lists this ribosomal RNA (515 nucleotides) under Bifidobacterium pseudocatenulatum. Its description in RNAcentral is "bacterial SSU rRNA". It matches the Rfam family "Bacterial small subunit ribosomal RNA", at positions 162 to 689 of the family's 1533-position model. The record is from RNAcentral. Lineage: Bacteria; Bacillati; Actinomycetota; Actinomycetes; Bifidobacteriales; Bifidobacteriaceae.